RNAcentral lists this ribosomal RNA (1414 nucleotides) under Engystomops guayaco. RNAcentral's name for it is "partial 16S ribosomal RNA". It matches the Rfam family "Bacterial large subunit ribosomal RNA", at positions 373 to 2595 of the family's 2925-position model. The record is from RNAcentral. Lineage: Eukaryota; Metazoa; Chordata; Amphibia; Anura; Leptodactylidae.
CUAAAAACAUAGCCUUAUUCUUUCUAAUGUAAAACCUUUUUUAUAAAAUUUAAUUAAAACAUUUUUUAAGCUUAGUAAAGGAGAUUAAAAAGUUUUUAAGAGCUAUAAUAAUAGUACCGCAAGGGAUUUGUGAAAUAAAAAUGAAACAAAAAAAAGCAAUAAAAAGUAAAGCUUCACCCUUGUACCUUUUGCAUCAUGGUUCAACUAGUCUAAUCAAGCAUAAAGAAUUAAAGUUUGACCUCCCGAAACUAAGUGAGCUACUUCAGGGCAGCUUAAUGAGCCAACCCGUCUCUGUUGCAAAAGAGUGGGAUGACCUUCAAGUAGAGGUGAUAGACCUAACGAACUUAGUGAUAGCUGGUUAUUCAGGAAAAGAAUAUUAGUUCAACUUAAAAUUACAUAAAUUAUUAAAAAUAAACCUAUAAUUUUAAAGCAAUUCAAACAAGGUACAGCCUGUUUGAACUAGGAUACAACCUCUUCUAAUGGGUAAUUUAAUAUUAAAUAUAAUUAAGUAGGCCUAAAAGCAGCCACCUUUAAAAUAGCGUCAAAGCUUAUUUAUAUAUACUUAUCAAUAACACUAUUUUUUAUUAACCCUUUUUUACUACUGAAUAAUUUUAUAACACUAUAAAAAUUUUUAUGUUGAAACUAGUAACAAGAAGAUAAACUUCUCUUUAAUGUAAGUAUAACUCGGAUAGGAUUAACCACCGACAAUUAACACCCCAGAACCUAAAAUAGUAACUCCUCAUGAAAAUUCUAUUAUAUUUAACGUUAAUCUUACACUAGAACAUUAAAAGAAAGAUUUAAGAAAAAGGAAGGAACUCGGCAAAUAUUAACCUCGCCUGUUUACCAAAAACAUCGCCUUCUGCUUUACAAUAGAAGGUCCAGCCUGCCCAGUGAAUUUAUUCAACGGCCGCGGUAUCCUAACCGUGCGAAGGUAGCGUAAUCACUUGUUCUUUAAAUGAGGACUAGUAUGAAUGGCAUCACGAGGGUUAUACUGUCUCCCUUUUUUAAUCAGUUAAACUAAUCUCCCCGUGAAGAAGCGAGGAUAAACAUAUAAGACGAGAAGACCCUAUGGAGCUUUAAAUUAAACAACAAUUGUUAUAUUUUUAUAAUUUUAAGAAUAAUUCUACAUUUAAACAUUUUGAUUGCUAAUUUUUGGUUGGGGUGACCGCGGAGAAUAAAAUAACCUCCACAAUAAAAGAAGCUCUCCUUCUGAACUAAGAACUACAAUUCUAAGUACUAAUAAUUUAAUAUUCUUUGACCCAAUUUAUUGAUCAACGAACAAAGUUACCCUAGGGAUAACAGCGCAAUCCACUUCAAGAGCUCCUAUCGACAAGUGGGUUUACGACCUCGAUGUUGGAUCAGGGUAUCCUGGUGGUGUAGCCGCUACUAAUGGUUCGUUGUCAACGAUAAAACC